Molecule: ribosomal RNA, 450 nt
Filed under: uncultured bacterium
Lineage: Bacteria
Description: partial 16S ribosomal RNA
Rfam family: Bacterial small subunit ribosomal RNA
Source: RNAcentral
GUGGGGAAUAUUGGACAAUGGGCGAAAGCCUGAUCCAGCCAUGCCGCGUGUGUGAAGAAGGUCUUCGGAUUGUAAAGCACUUUAAGUUGGGAGGAAGGGCAGUAAGUUAAUACCUUGCUGUUUUGACGUUACCGACAGAAUAAGCACCGGCUAACUUCGUGCCAGCAGCCGCGGUAAUACGAAGGGUGCAAGCGUUAAUCGGAAUUACUGGUCGUAAAGCGCGCGUAGGUGGUUUUGUAAGUUGGAGGUGAAAUCCCCGGGCUCAACCUGGGAACUGCAUCCAAAACUGCAUGACUAGAGUACGGUAGAGGGUAGUGGAAUUUCCUGUGUAGCGGUGAAAUGCGUAGAUAUAGGAAGGAACACCAGUGGCGAAGGCGACUACCUGGACUGAUACUGACACUGAGGUGCGAAAGCGUGGGGAGCAAACAGGAUUAGAAACCCGGGUAGUCC